Molecule: long non-coding RNA, 7554 nt
Filed under: Zea mays
Lineage: Eukaryota; Viridiplantae; Streptophyta; Magnoliopsida; Poales; Poaceae
Description: long non-coding RNA (ZMAY_LNC005526)
Source: RNAcentral
AAAAUUAAACCUAUGCAUUGAAUAGUGAUAAUAAAUAAUAUUAUUGGGUAACAAAAGUGGAUCAAGAGCACAACUUGUCUGGCACUUGAGAUUCCAGUUACCAGGGUGGUUCUUCAGAUCCUCGAAACCACGCGCUAGUCGUAGCAAUACAAACAAACAUGGUAUAGACAAAAUUAACAUCACACCAAACAUAAGAACAAACUGAAUAAUAAUGAUCUACGCGAAGCCACGAGAUCGCAGGCUCGAGAACUACUACGAUCGGAGUUACGGUUAAGGAGUUAUGAUUUUAUAGAAGGUCUAUGUGAUUUAAAUAUUAAACCAUAUUAUAAAUUUGUUAGUAUAAAUCAUAUGAGAGGUUAUUUUAUAAAUAGUUAUCUCAACUUUAAUCUAAGUCAAUAAUGGAUCAUAGAUCAUCUUCUAUUACAUUAAUAAGCAGAUUAACAAAACUAACCAACAUAAGUUAAAUAAAGAUCUAAUUAUAAAAGAAUGAGACAUGGUAUAAUAAAUAUUGUUACCGCGUAGUAAAUACUUGUACAAGACUAACGCAACUUGAAUGGAUCAAAUCGGAGUUAAAACGAAGGAGUUAUGAAUUUCCUAAGGUUUUAUGUAUUCAAUACAAGAUUAAUCAAGGGAUUAAUUUGAAUACAGUUUUCAUGCCAAACCAGAGGUACUAUGUGAUAAACAAUAAUAUUAUAGAAUUAUAGAAACUGGAAUGGACUGAAAAGGGGCUAAAAUGCAUUUUCUAGGAAUUAAUUAAGUUUCUAUAAUUAUUUUCACACAAAAAUGUAUUUUUUAAAUGAAUUCUUUUGAUUUUCUGUUCUUUGGACUGAGCGCACUAUUUACAGAAACCAUAGGGGCUACGACGCAAAUUGUUCUAAGACACAUGCCAUCCCGCAGUGGGCUGCGGGUUAAAUUCUAUAAAGUUUAGGGCUUCUUUUGCAAAGUCGUCGGCCGAAGGGGUACGGGCGAUCUCGAGCCGUCUGAUUCAAAACCAAUGGUUCUGAUUAGAUCCCUAGCUGCCCCAACUGGUAUGCGCAGAUGACCGACCGAUCCGAGAUCUACGACCCAGAAAGUGCCACGCCACCAACAUGACCCAGCCAUCGGAUCGUCCAUCCGUGGCAUAGAUUUGAUCAACUUCAUAACGAACCGCUACGACCUAAUGUCCAUCGGAUCAGAACUCAAUGGCCAGAUUUUAAUGGAUCCAGAUCUAACUCUAUCCGUUCUGUAACACACCUGGUGUUACGGUAACUAAAACGCUGGCAUAUCAUCAUAAGCACUUGCAUUAUCUUGUUUGAUAUACCUAGAAUGCAUUUACUAGGUUAAAAUUUUCUUUUCAAAAGUGUGAUGUCGUGUGUUGAGUAUAGGACUUAGGUUGAAAACCUUGCUUGGAAUUGUGGAUAAACAAAAUAACUCCGAAAUCAAGGACUUGUUGGGAAGGAGCUACAUAUGCUAAAGUCGCAUCUUAGACUAGAGAGUAACUUUUGUUUCUGAUGGAUGGAUCAAAGGGAUGAAUCCCUGGAAGAAUUUGAAACACAGAUGAAACUCAUUUGAAACCCUAAACUAACCCCAAUUGUGGAAUUUAAAAUCUAGAAGGAUUUAGCUAAAAGCCCAUAUACCAAGGUUGUAGGACUUGGAAAAGUGAACAAAUUUCAUACCUGGAGAAUUCCAAGUUGUGUGGAGAAAUUUGGAGUAAUUUGUAAAAUUUCAGCAUGAGUUCAGUUUGAAUUGGGCUGAAAACAGUUUCAUAUAGCUGUUUUUGGACCCUUAUAACUUUUGAUCUAUGGACUUUUGGUAAGGAGUUACUAUAACAAACUUGUAAAGUGAUUGUUGGAGAACAAUCCUUAUUAAGUGUACUAGCCCUAAAACUACAUGCUACCAGGAGCAAAGGGGGUCCAAAGAUGGGAUGCUAGGUAUUGUGUUUUCAGACUUAGCCAAAUCAUUGCAGCUGAGUUUUAGUGAGAUUUGUGCAGUUUUGGAGCUCUCUAUUGCUCUAUCCAUAGGGUUAUAGGUGAUGAUCAUUAUAACAAAGUUAUAGAGCUACAUGAGGAGUAUAAGUUUGGUUAAGUCAUAUAGCUCUAAAACUAUUUGGAACUUUGAGUAAAACUGGUCCAAAGUAAAGCUGUCAAAAUUUGUGGAUUUCAGACUUGUGAAAUUCAGAUUCUGAAUUUCAGCAAUUGGAGCAAACUUUGAGGUAUUGUAGUUUGGAAUUCAAGAGGUUUUAGUUAAUGGUCACUAUAUAAAACUUGUAGAGGAACUAUAGGAGUAUAAACUUUAUUAAGCAACUUAUCCCUAAAAACAUUUGGAACCCAGGAAAAAGAGUGGUUCCAAGUGGUGCUGUUGUAUUUCUGAAUUUUCAGAUUGAAAACAGUAACUGAAACUGAAUUUUAGUGUUUUGAUAGCAGUUUUGAAGCCUAUUUGUGGCUAUCCUAUAAGGUUUUGUGCUGUGGUGUUUGUAGAAUAAGUGAAGACCAUAUAAUGUGGAAUAACUUUCUUUAAAGGUGAUGGACAUGAUCCUAUACGAAAAUUGGAGUAACAGCUGCUCAAAUUUGGACUGUCUGGUGGCUGAAACUGAAUUGUAUUCAGUCCACUGUAAACUGAAAUUCAGCACAAGGGUGUCUAGUUUGGAGCCCUAUGGUAAUUAGUGCAAGUAGAUUUGGGUUAGGAAUUCUUUAGCAAACUGAAAGGCCAUAUAUAGGAGAACAAAUUCCCUUAAGAGGGUUGGACUUGGUGCUACACAAAAAGAGGAGUAAAAUUGUGUCCAAACUACCUCUGUCAGAUUCAGUGUGGUGCUGUUUCAGACUUCUGAAAACUGAAUUUUCAGUGAUUUUGCUCCACUUUCGUGCUUCAUAAAUAUUGUUCUGAGUAUCUUCAGCCAUGGAGUGUUAUACAAAAUAGGGAGAGCUAUAAUUGGAGAGUAAUUUUGGUUAAGAAAUGUGGGCUUGUUGUUGAAGGGAAUUGUGAGUUCAGUCCAAGAAUUGCAGUUCAGUAUUGGGUUGAAUAAACUGAAGAAGAUUACUCCUUUCCUGUCCUUUGCCUAUGUUAUGAGUGAAGAAUGGGAUAGAGAUAUGGUUGUGGUACAGGGUUAAGGAUCUACAGACUGCUCCACACUACAAUAUCCAAAUUUGGACUAUUUUUGUGAGCAGUGAGCAGUAGAGUCUUAUCUGCUAACUAUUGGUGGGAGUGAACUGGACAGCAGAGAUUCUAGUGGCUUUACCCCUUCAAAAAUAUCAGAUUUUCGACCUCUUUAUGCUCAGCCACUGGUGGUGUGCUCAGUCAUGUUACUGCCUGUCUGUGUUCUUUGGACAGGGGAUAUUUUGGCUGUAGAAAAAUAUCAACCAGGUGCAGUGUAUCUGCUGAACCUGUGAAUCUGAGUGGUAUGUGUGCAUGUGAGCCACAUAGAUAAGUUCAUGUAUUGCUGGCACUCUAGGAAACACUCUCCACUGCAUGCUGAACAUGUGUAGGGACACCUUGCCCAUAUUCAGGUACUUAUAGGGCAUGGAUAUGGGAAGCUUCCUUACUGUCCUUGAGCUCUGGAUUCCCUGCAUAAGUAAGGUGGUCCUUGUGCCAUCAAGAUGGUGUAACUUCCUCUCCCCAGUCUCUAGCCUUGAUCUGAACUAGAUCUGAGCACGCCAGCCCUCUGCGUGGUAACCAUUGUCCACAUCACAGUGGCCAGGUAAUCUCAAGAGCUUUCUCAGCUGUGUGGUAUAUGUUCCAUGCUCUAAAUCAAUCAGUGAAGCUCACACCAUUUACUAUUUGAACUCUACCACUGUAUGUUGCUGGGAACUAGGUGUUAAAUUCACUCAAAAAUAGGCUGUCAGUUUUUUUGGUUCCCAGAUUUAGUGCAGAAAGCUGAAACUAUAUUCUAAUGUGUUGAGCUCCACUUUGGUGCUUCAUAAAAAUUGUUCUGAAUGUUUUCAACCUAGGGGUACUAUACCAAAGUAGUAGAGCUAUAUCUAAGGAAUAACUUUGGUAAUGUGAGCUUGGUUUGUUGCUGUGUAAAAACUGGAGAAAAGGUUAGCUAAAGUUGGACUGUCAGGCUGAAUACAACUGAAUUUUUUUUAUUCAGUUCUGUGAACUGAAUUGCAGCAGUAUGCAUAGUUUGGAAUUCAUUUGUGACUGAUUCAUGGGGUUUUGGAUUAAAGUUUACAUAGCAAAACUGGAGACCAUAGUAAAGAGAGUAAGUUUUGUAAAGUGUGGUGGACUUGGUUCCACAUAAAUUUGGAAAUAAAAGUGGCCAAAAGGUGGACUGUCAGGUGUUAGGAUUCAGACUUAGAAUAAUAUUUGUCUGAAUUUGUGUGUUUAUUCAGUUUUGGGUCCUUGUGGUAAUUAAUCCCAGAAGAAUUAGGGUAAGAAUGCUAUAGCAAAGUAAAAGACCAUGUAAAGGAGAGCAAGUCUCAUGCAAAGUGUUGGCUUGCUACUUUGUAGAAUUUGGAGAAAAAGGAGUGACAAAACUCUCUGUCAGACCUAGUAAUGUGUUGUUUCAGAUUGGGAAAAUGGAAUUUCCGUGUGUUUGCUCAACUUUAAUGCACCCUAACGCUUGGUAUGUAUGGUUAUAAGCUAAAGACCUUACAGAAGAGAUUUGUAGCUGUGUUGGGUGAAAAAGUUUCUUACAGAGAAAUAAGUUUGGAGCUGUAUAAAAUUUAGAAUAAAAUGUGCCUAAGUUUCUUCUGUCAGUCUGUGUGAGAUGUCUGUUUCAGAAAACUGAAAACAAGUUUAGUGGAAGGUGGCUGAAUUUUGGUCACCUUAACUUGUAGUACAUGCAGUUUGGAUCCUUGCUUAAGGCAUAAAUGAAGCACUUGGUUGGUUAUAGAGGCAAGGUUUUCUAGUUUGGUUGGUGAAUUGUGUUGUGAUAUUAGAGUAUUUAGCUCUCUUAAGGUUUUGUUAGUUUUUGUGUGCACCUUUAGAGAGGUAUAAGUGUUGUGAUGUUUUUUAGUAUUUUCUUUUCAAGUUGCAUAAGCAUAAACAUCCAUGAUCAUGUCGUUUCAUAUAGAACUCCUACCAGAAGGAGUGAAGAUUCAACCUGAAGUGGUGACUGAAGAGGAAUCUACUCCAGUGGCUGCUGAUCAAGUGGAGGAGCCAUCUAACUGGGUUUAAUAGAGGGAUCUAGAACCUCUUCAAUGCAACAAAGGCAAGCCCCGGUGCAUGCAACCCCUUCCUUGUGUUUUUAAAUUAUUUUUAUACACUUUAAGUCUAGUGAAUGUGCAUUAGGUUUAUAGGAGUUGCUUGGAAACCCUUUGAUGCAUUGCCUUCCUUGAUAUCCAUACCUUUAUAGAUACUUCUGAUGAAGUAUCAAAAUAUGAUUUACAAAAAUGCUUAGCCCUGCUCAGAUCUUGUGGAUAGAGGUUGUCUUUUGCAUUAAGGCCUAGCUCAGGGGUUAUCCUGGGAAAGAUGGCUUUUACCUGCAAGAAUAUUUUCAUUGAGAGCGUGGUGGAAUCUUACUGUAAAGUUCUCUUUGAUGCUCUUUUCAUCCUAAGGAAUAUAAACAAUCCUAAGGGUGGAAGUACUUAAAUCGGGACUUGGGCUAGGAACAGGUGAUGUUCUACCCAGGUUGAUUAAGGAUUGAAUGCGUAUGUAGGCUUGCUGAUCAAGGACUAUCUUAACUAGCCACAUGCCCUGGAUAUGGGACAGGGUAAGCUUUGCCUUGGGCAGACUAAUACCAGAAUAAGAUAACACGCAAUGGGAGUGGAGAGAUGGCGAGAGUAGCGUGUCCCCUCCGUGGCAAGAGGCUGGACGGUGGUGUAUCUGUGCUCUCGGUUGGCGUGAACUUGAUCUGGUCUUAAGAACCCCAGUGGCGAGUUGACAUAUGCAAGGGUUAAGUGCUACAUAUGUCGUGUGGUUAGAGAUCCUCAGCUGAGUAAAUCGAUUCGGAUCGUCGUUAUAUCCCCGGACAGUGGAGACUUGGUCACUGCCCUACAACCUAAGUCAGGAUGUGAACCUCAUGAAUAAAAAUGAUGUUGUAUUGAUGAGAUGGUGAAAUUAGACCAGAUGCAAACAGAGUCUAUUAAUAUUUAAUCUGGCGUUAAAAUAUUGAACGUAAGGACUCACUUUAGUAAGCUAUUUCUGCAAAAGUAUCUAAUUUGAUUCUUGCUAAAACUUUUCCUUGAUUCCCAAAUCCAGCAUACCCUUGAAAGUCUUUUCUUUAGUCAGGUAAGUCUUGCUGAGUAAUUCCGUACUCAGAGUUUUAUUCCCUAUUGUUUUUCAGGUCAUAGUUUUGUGCUGAUGAUGAUGGUGUUAAGUGCCGGUGGGCUCGGCCUUCUUAUAAGUUUAAGUAACUCUUCUAUACUUUUUAUUGAGGAUGGUCACUUGAGCUAGCAUAUAUUUCAAACUUAUACUUUUGUAAUCACUCCGAUGAAUAUAAUGAAAAAUUUUUGUAACCUGUAAAAUUUGGUAAUAAGAUUUUCGCUGCAAAAAUGUUGAUGUGUGUGAUUUGUGUUUACUUAAUCACGUGGUUCUGGUUGUAAGUGGUUUAUCUGGUGUCCUUGGGGCAAUCGGACGGAUCCUGUUAAGUUAGCUGGUGCACAGACAUAGCAGUCUGAGGUCUUUGAGACAAGGACAGGUGCAUGUGGGCCCAAUAACUUAGGAGGUUCUGCCACACGUUCGAUCACAAUCAAUGGCUCAGAUCAAUCCUCUCAACGGGUAUGCCAGGGAUCUGAUCGCCGCCGUACACCCCCACAUCCCAUGGCACACACGGUUUUCCCCCAACCCUUUCUUCUUCCCUGGGCACCACGGAUUGAACACGGCGGCCAGGGAACCCACCAUGGCGGACACCAUGGCAGAGCACGUGUCACGACGCAAGCUCGACUCCCCGAUUCAAAAGAGCGACAUGCAGAGGAGAAUGCUACGAAUAACAUGGAUAGGUUGAUCACCUGCAAUCGGCUGCAGAGGAGCCCGCCCACGGUGCGAGCGGAACCCACGGUGGAGCACCAACUCCGGCGUGAAAUCGCGGGUUCCCCGAUCGGCAAUCCCAUCUAGCGAAGCACCUUGUGCCAUCCAUGCCUCUAAUCAAAGCUCCCAGACCCACUGGUGGAAUCCCGAGCGGUAGCGUGGGCGAGUUCCACGGCGGUGGAACCACAACAUCGGCGCAAAGGCGACCGACCACCACAGUGCCCAAAACGUCGAUUAAACCGAGCUACGCAUAGAGGAGACAAUAGCGAACGUGGGGGAUGAGGACUCACCAGAGAAGGAGUCUGCGGAGAGGCUGACCACGGAGGACAGUGGGUUCGCGGUCUCCCGUGAAGAAAUCCCAAGCCUCGGGCGCCGGUUCAACGCGGCGAGGCCACAAUAACUUCUCCACGCACAGGUGGAGCUUCACGGCACGGCACUGGGGCAGCGACAACGACGAGCCCACCGGCGAUGGCAUAGCUCGGUUCUUUCUCUCUCUCUUCGUUCUCACCAUGGAAAUGGCGGCGCCACUAGCUUAACCCACGCCCCUUGUUGACCGCGACCCGCGGAUGGCUAGGGAAGAGGAGGUAUAGGGGGGUUUGGCCCGCUUUUGUAGCCGGUCGAGGGGAGUCCAUGGGCGCAGGGGUAUCGGGCGGCGUAACAACAUGCCCG